RNAcentral lists this ribosomal RNA (867 nucleotides) under Triticum aestivum (bread wheat). RNAcentral's name for it is "partial small subunit ribosomal RNA". The record is from RNAcentral. Lineage: Eukaryota; Viridiplantae; Streptophyta; Magnoliopsida; Poales; Poaceae.
AUGCCUAGACCCAUUGUUCACAAUGAGACCACAGCCACCAACCUUGGAGGUUUUGUGACCGUGCUCACAAACCUCACCCGCCGUGCCUAUGCAUUAGAAGAGCCCCCAGAAUAUGUUGUGUAUCAAGGACCCAUGAGCGGUGAGAGCCGUCAAUUCUGGGCCACUGUACACAUCUAUGGUAAGGGUCUAUCGCCAGAACGCCCCUACAGGUUCACUGGAAGGACAACUUCCUUUGAGCCACAAGCCAUCCAACUGGCAGCUCGAGAGGCUAUAGUUCAACUCCGGCACUCGUCGCCCAGAGUUAACUGUCGCUCGUUCUACUACUACCCCAGUCGUGACGGGUAUGGUAGGCCGCCCCAGGUUGCCAACGGAGAUCACGAGACGGAUCCUGCACUAUUGCAUCUGCUGCGCUAUGUAAGUGCACUAGAGGAACUGUUCGAUCAAAUCACCCUUGAUCUGAUCGCAGCUCGUGGAGAACUGGUUCGCCUAGCCCCGGCGAGAGGAGAAGAUGAGCCCGACGCCGACAACCCAGUCGUGCUGUUCGGACACCCGAUCGAGUCCUUGAGGUCUGCCCCAGCCAUCGACCAAAAUACGUUGGUGUUCCCAGAAGUGCUUCGUCGCCUUUUGGGAACACGCUCCAACGGGAUUGUGACCAACAACCCCCGCGAUGGUCAUCAUCGCUACCCCGACCCUGCAGCCCCUCAACCUCAUCCAGCUAAUCCCGACGGUGAAACCCGUGGAGAAGCCUCGACAUCCACCAGACAAGUCUGCUUAGAUAUUAACGAAGUAGACUAUAUCGCUCGAGUAGUACCGAGCCUUAGUAUUCCUACGCCUUGUAAUUGUGUGAUCUUGUAUCACCAUUAUUAA